GCCAAAGUUGAGCAGCCCUGCUCUAUACAAUUGGUAGCCGCCAUGAUGUGGACUUCUGAAUCCAGCAACUAGAAUCUCACACACAAACACACUGGGUUGGUUCUUUGGAUCUGAAGGAUUCAAAUCAAGUCAUUUCCUGUAGGAUUGAUCAUUUUGAUUUGAAGUUAAAAAGAUCGCUUUGACAGAAAUUAUAUUAUGGUUUCUCACAGGAAGUUAUUAUAAAGAUGUGUUUUGAGCAGGCUGAGAGAGCACGUAGACAACAGGUGAUGGAUAUCGAAGGUCAAUCAGAUUAAGCUUGCCUUCCAAGAGAUGUAUUCCUGAGCAACCAAUUUCCUAUUUUAAGGCCAGCGAGCUAUUUGAAUCGGAUAACGGUGUCAAAAUUUAGAAGAGCUUUGACCCUUGCCCAUUUUAAUGCCCUUCCUGCAGCUCUAUUAGAAGGAAACUAUAAGAAAAUCCUGUAUGUAGUUCGGCUUUGCCUUUGUGGUACAGAUGCUAUUGAAUCAACCACUCAUGUUCUCCUGUACUGCCUCUUUUAUAUGACUAUAUGAACUCAUUUUAUCAACACAUUUUUAGUAAAAAUUCCAGGCAGAUACCUUCAAUACCUACUGUCAGACCAGAAUGAUUUAAUUUCUUCAAACACUGCAAAUUUUUAUUUUAUAGUUUGUAACAUUAUUCAACACUUUGUUAAUUUGUCUUAGUAAUUGUUUCAAUUUAAUGGCUUGUAAACCAAUCAUUUUAUUUUACUUAAUGGUUGUUGUGCUCUGUUAGUUGAUGACCAUAAUAAAGGACUGACCUAUUCAUUGA
Long non-coding RNA from Hemicordylus capensis (graceful crag lizard), 804 nucleotides. RefSeq lists it as uncharacterized. The transcript is spliced from 2 exons. The record is from RefSeq and is a predicted model, not a curated record. Lineage: Eukaryota; Metazoa; Chordata; Lepidosauria; Squamata; Cordylidae.